CCUACGGGAGGCAGCAGUGGGGAAUAUUGCACAAUGGGGGAAACCCUGAUGCAGCGACGCCGCGUGAGUGAAGAAGUAAUUCGUUAUGUAAAGCUCUAUCAGCAGGGAAGAAAAUGACGGUACCUGAGUAAGAAGCCCCGGCUAACUACGUGCCAGCAGCCGCGGUACUACGUAGGGGGCAAGCGUUAUCCGGAUUUACUGUGUGUAAAGGGAGCGUAGACGGCAGUGCAAGUCUGGAGUGAAAGGCGGGGGCUCAACCCCCGGACUGCUCUGGAAACUGUACGGCUGGAGUGCAGGAGAGGUAAGUGGAAUUCCUAGUGUAGCGGUGAAAUGCGUAGAUAUUAGGAGGAACACCAGUGGCGAAGGCGGCUUACUGGACUGUAACUGACGUUGAGGCUCGAAAGCGUGGGGAGCAAACAGGAUUAGAUACCCUUGUAGUC
Molecule: ribosomal RNA, 440 nt
Filed under: uncultured bacterium
Lineage: Bacteria
Description: partial 16S ribosomal RNA
Rfam family: Bacterial small subunit ribosomal RNA
Source: RNAcentral